Molecule: small nucleolar RNA, 70 nt
Organism: Pseudophryne corroboree (corroboree frog)
Lineage: Eukaryota; Metazoa; Chordata; Amphibia; Anura; Myobatrachidae
Product: small nucleolar RNA SNORD27
Exons: 1
Source: RefSeq, a predicted model, not a curated record
CAUCAGUGAUGAUUGAUAACAGACAAGCAUAUGUCUGACUUUAUAGUGAUGUCUUUUAUGAUCUGAGAUG